GGGCGAUUAGCUCAGUUGGUUAGAGCAUCUGCUUUACACGCAGGGGGUCAGGGGUUCAAAUCCUCUAUCGCCCACUA
This 77-nucleotide transfer RNA is filed under the name Candidatus Omnitrophica bacterium CG23_combo_of_CG06-09_8_20_14_all_40_11. Its description in RNAcentral is "tRNA-Val". It matches the Rfam family "tRNA". Rfam says of the family: Transfer RNA (tRNA) molecules are approximately 80 nucleotides in length. Their secondary structure includes four short double-helical elements and three loops (D, anti-codon, and T loops). Further hydrogen bonds mediate the characteristic L-shaped molecular structure. tRNAs have two regions of fundamental functional importance: the anti-codon, which is responsible for specific mRNA codon recognition, and the 3' end, to which the tRNAs corresponding amino acid is attached (by aminoacyl-tRNA synthetases). tRNAs cope with the degeneracy of the genetic code in two manners: having more than one tRNA (with a specific anti-codon) for a particular amino acid; and 'wobble' base-pairing, i.e. permitting non-standard base-pairing at the 3rd anti-codon position. Lineage: Bacteria; Pseudomonadati; Candidatus Omnitrophota. The record is from RNAcentral.